This 497-nucleotide ribosomal RNA is filed under the name uncultured bacterium. RNAcentral describes it as "partial 16S ribosomal RNA". It matches the Rfam family "Bacterial small subunit ribosomal RNA", at positions 28 to 507 of the family's 1533-position model. The record is from RNAcentral.
GAUGAACGCUGGCGGCGUGCCUAAUACAUGCAAGUCGAGCGAACGGACGAGAAGCUUGCUUCUCUGAUGUUAGCGGCGGACGGGUGAGUAACACGUGGAUAACCUACCUAUAAGACUGGGAUAACUUCGGGAAACCGGAGCUAAUACCGGAUAAUAUUUUGAACCGCAUGGUUCAAAAGUGAAAGACGGUCUUGCUGUCACUUAUAGAUGGAUCCGCGCUGCAUUAGCUAGUUGGUAAGGUAACGGCUUACCAAGGCAACGAUGCAUAGCCGACCUGAGAGGGUGAUCGGCCACACUGGAACUGAGAAACGGUCAAGACUCCUACGGGAGGCAGCAGUAGGGAAUCUUCCGCAAAGGGCGAAAGCCUGACGGAGCAACGCCGCGUGAGUGAUGAAGGUCUUCGGAUCGUAAAACUCUGUUAUUAGGGAAGAACAUAUGUGUAAGUAACUGUGCACAUCUUGACGGUACCUAAUCAGAAAGCCACGGCUAACUACGUG